GCCUCCGUGGCUUAGUGGUAUAGCACCGCUCUCGUAAAGCGGAGGUCGGGGGUUCAAAUCCCCCCGGAGGCU
Molecule: transfer RNA, 72 nt
Filed under: Nanobdellota archaeon
Lineage: Archaea; Nanobdellati; Nanobdellota
Description: tRNA-Thr
Rfam family: tRNA
About the family: Transfer RNA (tRNA) molecules are approximately 80 nucleotides in length. Their secondary structure includes four short double-helical elements and three loops (D, anti-codon, and T loops).
Source: RNAcentral